UCCGUAGGGGGACCUGCGGAGGGAUCAUUACACAAAUAUGAAGGCGGGCUGGAACCUCUCGGGGUUACAGCCUUGCUGAAUUAUUCACCCUUGUCUUUUGCGUACUUCUUGUUUCCUUGGUGGGUUCGCCCACCACUAGGACAAACAUAAACCUUUUGUAAUUGCAAUCAGCGUCAGUAACAAAUUAAUAAUUACAACUUUCAACAACGGAUCUCUUGGUUCUGGCAUCGAUGAAGAACGCAGCGAAAUGCGAUAAGUAGUGUGAAUUGCAGAAUUCAGUGAAUCAUCGAAUCUUUGAACGCACAUUGCGCCCUUUGGUAUUCCAAAGGGCAUGCCUGUUCGAGCGUCAUUUGUACCCUCAAGCUUUGCUUGGUGUUGGGCGUCUUGUCUCUAGCUUUGCUGGAGACUCGCCUUAAAGUAAUUGGCAGCCGGCCUACUGGUUUCGGAGCGCAGCACAAGUCGCACUCUCUAUCAGCAAAGGUCUAGCAUCCAUUAAGCCUUUUUUUCAACUUUUGACCUCGGAUCAGGUAGGGAUACCCGCUGAACUUAAGCAUAUCAAUAAGACGGAGGAAAGCC
This 576-nucleotide ribosomal RNA is filed under the name Alternaria sp. ZG-1-1-2. RNAcentral describes it as "eukaryotic LSU rRNA". The stretch from base 196 to 349 matches the Rfam family "5.8S ribosomal RNA". Lineage: Eukaryota; Fungi; Ascomycota; Dothideomycetes; Pleosporales; Pleosporaceae. The record is from RNAcentral.